Long non-coding RNA from Megalopta genalis, 1438 nucleotides. RefSeq lists it as uncharacterized. Lineage: Eukaryota; Metazoa; Arthropoda; Insecta; Hymenoptera; Halictidae. The record is from RefSeq and is a predicted model, not a curated record.
GCGCAAUCUGGGCGUCAAUUAGAGAGACAUUACUGUACAGACUAAAUACGUUAUUCAUUCAAUUAAUUUACAGAUUGUUCAUACUGCACUCAUUCUUUUCCCGGUGUACCGGGAAUUAUGCCCAUGACAAAAUAGUCAUUUUCAUUCUUCGGUGUUGACACAGCUAUCGAUCAAUUGCAAAAAAAGAAUCGUGUAAACACUGACGAACUUUCGACUUCACUUAUUACGUUCUGACGAUACAUAACAUAUGUGUUUACGUUAUCUUUAUUUAUCGUUAUCUAGCCUCGUAAGUGUACGCAAAGCGGCAAUGUAGCUCGACAGAUGCAACAGUUUCAAAACUAUUGCGACCAUUGAACCAAUAAUAAUCUACGCGUGUUUGUACAAAAAUUGCUGCACAUAAAUAUAACUUUUUACACGCUAAUUUAUAUAGAUUGUGACACUUGAAACGGGCCACCUGAAUAACUCUGCCGCAGUUGGCAAUAGAAAUAAAUGGAUCAGACGAGAAACUUGCUUGGUGGCGAAGAGACAGUGAACGUGAUGAGAAUAGUUCCUUUGCAGAGAUAAGAGGUGUAGAGGAGAUGCGAAGGAAACAGCACAGCGGUCUAUGAUUGAAAGUCAUUCAAGGUUACCGAAGGUCAUUUGCAAUGGAGUAUGAUUUGCCUCACGGAACCUAUUCGAUUGCUGCGCUGCCUCUUGGUUACUAUGUGGCUCUUGUAAUCUCUUAUACGGAUCGUAGAAUGUAAACAAACGCUCAACCGGGUUGUGUGCUUCUUAUUUACUGUACCUACGUGUACUAUUAUUAGUAUGCUACUGCGGUAUGCUACCGAUCUAGAAGGGUCACGAACUUCUAAAAUGCGUUGCUCGAAAACGCAAAGAUUUGAUUAGUUUUUCGCUUGUAACGAAUUUUGAAGAAUUAUGAUACAACACAGUCUGUUUAUAGAUUAUAGAUUUUCUGAUUGUAUCGGACGUUUACAAUUAGUCCUUUCAGAUGUUAUACAGAUUCGUUAGAAAAUCGGGUGCGUAGAUACGUAAAAAAAGCAUCGAUGAUUCAACAGAGCAAUCGAUAGUGACGCUUUGGAACACUCAUCGAUGUUCAAGGUUAUCACCUUGAAUGCUUGCAUUGACAGAAUGCAUGCGAAUAAGUGGUUGCUUGAAGUCUAUCGGUUCCUUGAUGUAAAUUACUUUCGACCAUAGUCGACCUUGAAUGAUCUUGAAUGACCAUAGGUCACUGUACUAUUAAAAGGUGAAUAAAGACGUAUCAUUUCAGAGAGCAAAUUACUCUUCCCAUUUUAUCUACACUCCUCUACAAAGGAACCACAGCCACUGGAUCAUGAUCUUGACAUCAAGCACAUUUGAUCUCAUGUUUCUCCGUCAAUAGACGCGGUGUUUCAAGUGUUCCGGAAAAUAGAAACUGUAAUAAAACAAAGAGAUACAUUUA